AAAAUGCGUAGAAGAAGAGUACGAGAUUUAAGUAUUGUCCAGAAUACUCCAAAUUCGGAAGAAAGAAAUAGUGAACAGCAGACAGUUGUUGGAUCUUCGAAUGUGCCGGAGACACUUGAUGAGCCUGAAGAAUUUCAAACUGAAAGUGGUGGGACGCGCAGAGUUCGAGGACGUACGCUACUUAGAGAUUUAUACGACUUAGAUCCUGUUGAGCGUGUUAAAGUAAGUAGAAAUACUCAUGGUCAGCCUGUUGGAUCUGAAGCUCGACUUUUAGCAGGCUAUUUGGGCAUUUUAGCAUGAAAUGCAAAUAUGUUGCCCAUCAACUACGAAUCAUGGCAUCACAUGCCUGAUAGCAACAAAAAUCAGGCUCUCGCUAAUAUUAAGGAGAGAUUUGCUUUAGAAGUCUCCGAUGAUUAUAUCAAGAAGGCAUUAGGUAAAAGAUGGAGAGACAAUAAAAGCACUUUAAAGAAACAAUAUUUUAAGAAAGACAUAAGCCUCGAGGAAAAA
Molecule: long non-coding RNA, 507 nt
Organism: Gossypium arboreum
Lineage: Eukaryota; Viridiplantae; Streptophyta; Magnoliopsida; Malvales; Malvaceae
Exons: 3
Source: RefSeq, a predicted model, not a curated record